AAUAGAUACCCGGGUAGUCCACGCCGUAAACGAUGGAUGCUAGCUGUUAGGAGUAUCGACCCUCCUAGUAGCGUAGCUAACGCGUUAAGCAUCCCGCCUGUGGAGUACGGUCGCAAGACUAAAACAUAAAGGAAUUGACGGGGACCCGCACAAGCGGUGGAGCGUGUUGUUUAAUUCGAUGGUAAGCGAAGAACCUUACCCAGGCUUGACAUCCUGCUAAUCACUCCGAAAGGAGAGAGUGCCUUCGGGCCGCAGUGACAGGUGUUGCAUGGCCGUCGUCAGCUCGUGUCGUGAGAUGUUUGGUUAAGUCCAUCAACGAGCGCAACCCUUAUAGUUAGUUGUAUUUCUCUAGCUAGACUGCCCUGGUAACAGGGAGGAAGGGGGGAUGAUGUCAGGUCAGUAUUACCCUUACGCCUGGGGCUACAAACACGCUACAAUGGCCGGUACAAAGGGCUGCCAACCCGCGAGGGGGAGCAAAUCCCAUCAAAGCCGGUCUCAGUUCGGAUUGCAGGCUGAAACCCGCCUGCAUGAAG
This 533-nucleotide ribosomal RNA is filed under the name uncultured bacterium. RNAcentral's name for it is "bacterial SSU rRNA". It matches the Rfam family "Bacterial small subunit ribosomal RNA", at positions 777 to 1325 of the family's 1533-position model. The record is from RNAcentral.